GAAUACUGGAUACACUAGGAUUGAGGAGGAUAACACAAGAUGUAUUCCGUCCGCCAACCCCUACGCAAAUCUCAAGCAGGAUCGUUUCGUUGCCCGACGACUCUACACCCACUUCAGUACUCCCAGCCCUUCUCACUCCGCUCCUCAUUAUAAUCAAUAAUUUUUAUCAAUUAUUGAUCAUUCUGGGGGACGUGAAAAGCAUACAUGGAUUCCCCUUCACUUCCAGAAAAUUCUUUUCAGCUUAUAUAACGCUCCAGGCACAAGAACCAACCAAACUCUGAGCCCUUCAACGCCAGGAUCACCAAACAUCACGUGUCGUGCGAGGUCUAAAACUUUUGUAGGUACUGUUAGGAAUACUGGAUACACUAGGAUUGAGGAGGAUAACACAAGAUGUAUUCCGUCCGCCAACCCCUACGCAAAUCUCAAGCAGGAUCGUUUCGUUGCCCGACGACUCUACACCCACUUCAGUACUCCCAGCCCUUCUCACUCCGCUCCUCAUUAUAAUCAAUAAUUUUUAUCAAUUAUUGAUCAUUCUGGGGGACGUGAAAAGCAUACAUGGAUUCCCCUUCACUUCCAGAAAAUUCUUUUCAGCUUAUAUAACGCUCCAGGCACAAGAACCAACCAAACUCUGAGCCCUUCAACGCCAGGAUCACCAAACAUCACGUGUCGUGCGAGGUCUAAAACUUUUGUAGGUACUGUUAGGAAUACUGGAUACACUAGGAUUGAGGAGGAUAACACAAGAUGUAUUCCGUCCGCCAACCCCUACGCAAAUCUCAAGCAGGAUCGUUUCGUUGCCCGACGACUCUACACCCACUUCAGUACUCCCAGCCCUUCUCACUCCGCUCCUCAUUAUAAUCAAUAAUUUUUAUCAAUUAUUGAUCAUUCUGGGGGACGUGAAAAGCAUACAUGGAUUCCCCUUCACUUCCAGAAAAUUCUUUUCAGCUUAUAUAACGCUCCAGGCACAAGAACCAACCAAACUCUGAGCCCUUCAACGCCAGGAUCACCAAACAUCACGUGUCGUGCGAGGUCUAAAACUUUUGUAGGUACUGUUAGGAAUACUGGAUACACUAGGAUUGAGGAGGAUAACACAAGAUGUAUUCCGUCCGCCAACCCCUACGCAAAUCUCAAGCAGGAUCGUUUCGUUGCCCGACGACUCUACACCCACUUCAGUACUCCCAGCCCUUCUCACUCCGCUCCUCAUUAUAAUCAAUAAUUUUUAUCAAUUAUUGAUCAUUCUGGGGGACGUGAAAAGCAUACAUGGAUUCCCCUUCACUUCCAGAAAAUUCUUUUCAGCUUAUAUAACGCUCCAGGCACAAGAACCAACCAAACUCUGAGCCCUUCAACGCCAGGAUCACCAAACAUCACGUGUCGUGCGAGGUCUAAAACUUUUGUAGGUACUGUUAGGAAUACUGGAUACACUAGGAUUGAGGAGGAUAACACAAGAUGUAUUCCGUCCGCCAACCCCUACGCAAAUCUCAAGCAGGAUCGUUUCGUUGCCCGACGACUCUACACCCACUUCAGUACUCCCAGCCCUUCUCACUCCGCUCCUCAUUAUAAUCAAUAAUUUUUAUCAAUUAUUGAUCAUUCUGGGGGACGUGAAAAGCAUACAUGGAUUCCCCUUCACUUCCAGAAAAUUCUUUUCAGCUUAUAUAACGCUCCAGGCACAAGAACCAACCAAACUCUGAGCCCUUCAACGCCAGGAUCACCAAACAUCACGUGUCGUGCGAGGUCUAAAACUUUUGUAGGUACUGUUAGGAAUACUGGAUACACUAGGAUUGAGGAGGAUAACACAAGAUGUAUUCCGUCCGCCAACCCCUACGCAAAUCUCAAGCAGGAUCGUUUCGUUGCCCGACGACUCUACACCCACUUCAGUACUCCCAGCCCUUCUCACUCCGCUCCUCAUUAUAAUCAAUAAUUUUUAUCAAUUAUUGAUCAUUCUGGGGGACGUGAAAAGCAUACAUGGAUUCCCCUUCACUUCCAGAAAAUUCUUUUCAGCUUAUAUAACGCUCCAGGCACAAGAACCAACCAAACUCUGAGCCCUUCAACGCCAGGAUCACCAAACAUCACGUGUCGUGCGAGGUCUAAAACUUUUGUAGGUACUGUUAGGAAUACUGGAUACACUAGGAUUGAGGAGGAUAACACAAGAUGUAUUCCGUCCGCCAACCCCUACGCAAAUCUCAAGCAGGAUCGUUUCGUUGCCCGACGACUCUACACCCACUUCAGUACUCCCAGCCCUUCUCACUCCGCUCCUCAUUAUAAUCAAUAAUUUUUAUCAAUUAUUGAUCAUUCUGGGGGACGUGAAAAGCAUACAUGGAUUCCCCUUCACUUCCAGAAAAUUCUUUUCAGCUUAUAUAACGCUCCAGGCACAAGAACCAACCAAACUCUGAGCCCUUCAACGCCAGGAUCACCAAACAUCACGUGUCGUGCGAGGUCUAAAACUUUUGUAGGUACUGUUAGGAAUACUGGAUACACUAGGAUUGAGGAGGAUAACACAAGAUGUAUUCCGUCCGCCAACCCCUACGCAAAUCUCAAGCAGGAUCGUUUCGUUGCCCGACGACUCUACACCCACUUCAGUACUCCCAGCCCUUCUCACUCCGCUCCUCAUUAUAAUCAAUAAUUUUUAUCAAUUAUUGAUCAUUCUGGGGGACGUGAAAAGCAUACAUGGAUUCCCCUUCACUUCCAGAAAAUUCUUUUCAGCUUAUAUAACGCUCCAGGCACAAGAACCAACCAAACUCUGAGCCCUUCAACGCCAGGAUCACCAAACAUCACGUGUCGUGCGAGGUCUAAAACUUUUGUAGGUACUGUUAGGAAUACUGGAUACACUAGGAUUGAGGAGGAUAACACAAGAUGUAUUCCGUCCGCCAACCCCUACGCAAAUCUCAAGCAGGAUCGUUUCGUUGCCCGACGACUCUACACCCACUUCAGUACUCCCAGCCCUUCUCACUCCGCUCCUCAUUAUAAUCAAUAAUUUUUAUCAAUUAUUGAUCAUUCUGGGGGACGUGAAAAGCAUACAUGGAUUCCCCUUCACUUCCAGAAAAUUCUUUUCAGCUUAUAUAACGCUCCAGGCACAAGAACCAACCAAACUCUGAGCCCUUCAACGCCAGGAUCACCAAACAUCACGUGUCGUGCGAGGUCUAAAACUUUUGUAGGUACUGUUAGGAAUACUGGAUACACUAGGAUUGAGGAGGAUAACACAAGAUGUAUUCCGUCCGCCAACCCCUACGCAAAUCUCAAGCAGGAUCGUUUCGUUGCCCGACGACUCUACACCCACUUCAGUACUCCCAGCCCUUCUCACUCCGCUCCUCAUUAUAAUCAAUAAUUUUUAUCAAUUAUUGAUCAUUCUGGGGGACGUGAAAAGCAUACAUGGAUUCCCCUUCACUUCCAGAAAAUUCUUUUCAGCUUAUAUAACGCUCCAGGCACAAGAACCAACCAAACUCUGAGCCCUUCAACGCCAGGAUCACCAAACAUCACGUGUCGUGCGAGGUCUAAAACUUUUGUAGGUACUGUUAGGAAUACUGGAUACACUAGGAUUGAGGAGGAUAACACAAGAUGUAUUCCGUCCGCCAACCCCUACGCAAAUCUCAAGCAGGAUCGUUUCGUUGCCCGACGACUCUACUACACCC
This 3623-nucleotide long non-coding RNA is filed under the name Homalodisca vitripennis (glassy-winged sharpshooter). Its description in RNAcentral is "uncharacterized LOC124366245". Lineage: Eukaryota; Metazoa; Arthropoda; Insecta; Hemiptera; Cicadellidae. The record is from RNAcentral.